Molecule: ribosomal RNA, 468 nt
Filed under: uncultured bacterium
Lineage: Bacteria
Description: partial 16S ribosomal RNA
Rfam family: Bacterial small subunit ribosomal RNA
Source: RNAcentral
GACGAACGCUGGCGGCGUGCUUAACACAUGCAAGUCGAACGGAAAGGCCCUGCUUUUGUGGGGUGCUCGAGUGGCGAACGGGUGAGUAACACGUGAGUAACCUACCCUUGACUUUGGGAUAACUUCAGGAAACUGGGGCUAAUACCGGAUAGGAGCUCCUGCUGCAUGGUGGGGGUUGGAAAGUUUCGGCGGUUGGGGAUGGACUCGCGGCUUAUCAGCUUGUUGGUGGGGUAGUGGCUUACCAAGGCUUUGACGGGUAGCCGGCCUGAGAGGGUGACCGGCGACAUUGGGACUAAGAUACGGCCCAGACGCCUACGGUAGGCAGCAGUGGGGAAUAUUGCACAAUGGGCGGAAGCCUGAGGCAGCAACGCCGCGUGCGGGAUGACGGCCUUCGGGUUGUAAACCGCUUUCGCCUGUGACGAAGCGUGAGUGACGGUAAUGGGUAAAGAAGCACCGGCUAACUACGUG